UCCGUCCUCUGAGCGUAUAUCAGAUGGAGAUGGGGAACAGAACCGCCGGCCACUCCCUUCAUUCCAAACACACUGCCGACCAGGAAAGGAAAUGUUCUCUGAACACCGUGUUCCUACUAAUCUUUAUACGACCUGUAGAGGCAGGUGUUUCGCAUGAGAAGAAUGGGGAAAAGCUGGCGGUUACACAACGAGGCAGAGUUGUGUUGGAAGACUCAAACGUCUUCCGGCCGUUAAGGAGGCGCGAGCCUUAUCGUCCUUUCUGGCGUCUUUCGCACACAUGCCCGUGCAAAGCAGCUAUCGGAUCUGAGAGCCAGGUGCUUGACCACAGAUUUAAGCGGCUGGGCACACGCCUUGGAAAGCAGCAGGCCCCGAGUUCAGCCCGUGUAAAACCAAUAAGACACCUAACUGGUUUUACUGGUAGAUGCUGGGGGUGCGAGAGAGAGAAGGCUGUGCAGACUAAACCACAAACACUCAGGGGGAAAGAUGUUCCUUUUCCUUCCCUUCCCUUCCCUUCCUUCCAACAACUUAAGCAGCUUCUUAACCGGCUAAAAAUAUUUCUAUUCCCCCGAGGCGUCUGAUUAUUUUCCUGACAGACACUACCUCAGCACCAUGGAGUCAAUAUAAACCGACCACCCUCUUUGGCCUUCCUUUGCUGUGGGCGGAAAAGGCGAGAAGGAAAAAAUGUAGGAAGCCACAGGAAUUAAACAUGGGACAAUUUGCCUGUCUCAGGACGGCAUCCCAGUGGCUUAGAACAGGGAUGUCCAACCGGUUGACUGCGAUAGACAGGUUGAUCCCUGAUCUGCGACAGUGAAAAGCAAUGGGGUAAAAGUCCCCACGCCCCUCGUCCGUCAAUCUUCUACUCCGCCGUGUCAAAUUUUGCCGGCAAGUGAGGAAACGGAAUUAGUUGUUCCUGCUUCGUCGUCGUUAUAGUUGAACGAUUUCCUUCCCUAUUAACAACUUUGAGUUUGCCCCCCAAACCCCUUUAAAAAAGGUCAACAACUUUGGCUUUGCCCCCCCCAAAGGUCAACAACUUUGGCUUCCCACUUCCCAAAAAUGGGUAGAUCACUGCCAGUUUUUUAUACUGGGAGUAGAUCGCAGUCU
Molecule: non-coding RNA, 1101 nt
Organism: Podarcis lilfordi (Lilford's wall lizard)
Lineage: Eukaryota; Metazoa; Chordata; Lepidosauria; Squamata; Lacertidae
Source: the annotation of a GenBank genome assembly